UAGGGAAUCUUCCGCAAUGGGCGAAAGCCUGACGGAGCAACGCCGCGUGAGUGAUGAAGGUCUUCGGAUCGUAAAACUCUGUUAUUAGGGAAGAACAAAUGUGUAAGUAACUAUGCACGUCUUGACGGUACCUAAUCAGAAAGCCACGGCUAACUACGUACCAGCAGCCGCGGUAAUACGUAGGUGGCAAGCGUUAUCCGGAAUUAUUGGGCGUAAAGCGCGCGUAGGCGGUUUUUUAAGUCUGAUGUGAAAGCCCACGGCUCAACCGUGGAGGGUCAUUGGAAACUGGAAAACUUGAGUGCAGAAGAGGAAAGUGGAAUUCCAUGUGUAGCGGUGAAAUGCGCAGAGAUAUGGAGGAACACCAGUGGCGAAGGCGACUUUCUGGUCUGUAACUGACGCUGAUGUGCGAAAGCGUGGGGAUCAAACAGG
Molecule: ribosomal RNA, 429 nt
Filed under: Actinomycetes bacterium
Lineage: Bacteria; Bacillati; Actinomycetota; Actinomycetes
Description: Actinobacteria bacterium partial 16S ribosomal RNA
Rfam family: Bacterial small subunit ribosomal RNA
Source: RNAcentral